GAGUUUGAUCGUGGCUCAGGACAAACGCUGGCGGGGUGCAUGAGACAUGCAAGUCGAACGGGGUUGAGCGGGCUUGCUCGAUCAACCUAGUGGCGGACGGCUGAGUAACGCGUAGGUGACCUGUCCGGAAGUGGGGAAUAACUGCCCGAAAGGGUGGCUAAUACCGCAUGUGGUCGGCGAUUCGGUUCGCCGUGCAAAGCCGCAAGGCGCUUCCGGAGGGGCCUGCGUCCGAUUAGCUAGUUGGUGGGGUAACGGCUCACCAAGGCGACGAUCGGUAGCUGGUCUGAGAGGAUGAUCAGCCAGACUGGGACUGAGAACGGCCCAGACUCCUACGGAGGCAGCAGUCGGGAAUUUGCCCAAUGGACGAAAGUCUGAGGCAGCAACUCCG
This 388-nucleotide ribosomal RNA is filed under the name uncultured bacterium. RNAcentral's name for it is "bacterial SSU rRNA". It matches the Rfam family "Bacterial small subunit ribosomal RNA", at positions 9 to 399 of the family's 1533-position model. The record is from RNAcentral.